GACGAACGCUGGCGGCGUGCUUAACACAUGCAAGUCGAACGGUAAGGCCCGGCUCUUGCGGGGUGCUCGAGUGGCGAAAGGGUGAGUAACACGUGAGUGACCUGCGCUUUACUUUGGGAUAACACCAGGAAAAUGGGGCUCAUACCGGAUAUGAGCAUCUGCUGCACGGUGGGGUUUGGAAAGUUUCGGCGGUUGGGGAAGGAGUGGCGGAUCAUCAGUUUGUUGGUGGGGAAGUGGCUUACUAAGGCUUUGACGGGUAGCCACCCUGAGAGGGUGACCGGCCCCAGUGGGACUGAGGAAGGACCCAGACUGCAACGGCAGGCAGCAGUGGGGAAUAGUGCGCGAAGGGCGGCGUGAUGAAAGAGCGAUGUCGGGUGGGGGAUGACGGCCGUCGGGCAGGAACCCGCGUGCGCCUGUGACGAAGCGUGAGUGACGGUAAUGGGUAAGAAAGCACCGGCUAACUACGUG
Molecule: ribosomal RNA, 468 nt
Filed under: uncultured bacterium
Lineage: Bacteria
Description: partial 16S ribosomal RNA
Rfam family: Bacterial small subunit ribosomal RNA
Source: RNAcentral